Molecule: long non-coding RNA, 3372 nt
Organism: Gallus gallus (chicken)
Lineage: Eukaryota; Metazoa; Chordata; Aves; Galliformes; Phasianidae
Source: Ensembl
AGAGAUCCCUCCUCUUGGAGCCCUUUUGCAAGCUCAGGACACAGUUGGAAGGGACCUCAAGAGAUCAUUGAGUACAUCAUCCCUGACAAAGCAGUAUUUCAGAACUUGACUCACUUUGGAAGACUGCCAAUAGUGCAAACUUGGAAUGAGGAGAAGAUCCCUCACUGCAAACUUUCAACCCAUGGGUUAAUAGCCAAGAGAGGAAGAUCUCUGUUCAGAGAUUGCCCCUUCUGGAGACUUCGCUGACCUUUGGAAUGGUGAGCUGAUGGCUGUGUGGUUCUUUGAUUCUUUGCUGCCUGCCAGGUUAAUCCACAACAAGGAUUCACAUAGUUGUGGAGGACUAAGGUACUUAAAAUCAGUAAGUAAAUCACAAUGUGGUUAUUUGUGACUGAAAUUCAAAAGACUUUGUAAUGUUUUGAAAAUGACUGACAACCCCUAUAUGUGACAGCUGUUCCAGAAAAGAGACCACAAAACUCUGAAUUAAUAGUGUAUUCAUUUCUAAACCUUGAUUUAUUUUCUGCUUCUUACUCACGUGCAUUAUGUUUCAAAUAUUCAACUAAGUCUAGAAAGGAAGGAAAAAACCAACAGAUUUGUAAUAGCAAAGCAGAAAAUGUAGUGCAGUACUAGUAUCAACAUCAAACAACAAUAUCCUAUUAAAAUACUUCAGAGUAUUGAGUGAAUCUAUUGGUUUUUCAGUGUGUACUACAGAAGGAACCUAUUUGGGGUACAAAAUGAGUUCAGUCUUAGACUUUGCGUACUUAGUAAAGGUUGUAUUUUUGCAGUGUACGGCAUACUAUGUCAGAACAGAACUGGAGGAGUUAUUAAUGAUAUUAACACAGCGUACACAAUAAUUCUUGUUUCAGUUUUGAAAUCUGAAGUUAUUAUAAUUAGCUUAUUAGGACUUCAUAAAGAUUCAGCUGGACUGUAAUCUUACCAAAAUAUACCUUAUCUGCCUUGCAUAUUCUUUCAGUAUGUCUAUGGACCACAGUUAUACAGAAAAUUCAUCACUGAUAUAUUACUAGAGGUUCAUGAGGUUUGUUUGUAUGAGGUGCUGACCUACUUUUCCUUUAUCUCUUAAGGGAUUAAUUUAUUUUUUUAAUCAAACAUUGCUGGAAUGAGCCAUGUAGUCAAAAAUAAAAAAAAUAAAAUGCUGAGUGACAGUUCUCUAGUAUUAAAAUUCUGUAGGCCAUCUCUUUGUUGGUCACAUUUACGAUUUUCAGACAGAAAAUGUUAUCACUUUGUCAGCUUCAGAUGUUGUCAGUUAGUUUGUCAAAUGGCUGAGAUGACAGGCUGUUAUUUUCCACUUGUAAGCAGAGAAGAUGUUGCAAAUACUUCUCCUGUAUCCAGUCAAUACUUUUGCAGUUCUUAAUUAGACUUCUGCAGUGUGCUCACCCUGAGACCAUAUCUACAAGCAAACUACAGAAAAAUGCCAUUAAUUCAUGGAAAAAAAAAUGCUGUUGAUAACACAUUGGUGUUCCAGUUGUUGCUGAAGAGUGCUGUACAGAGCCAAGGAUACUUCACCUUUCUGCUUCUCCUACUGUUCUGCUAGCAAGGGAGCUGACCUAAGCCAGCCAAAUGGAUAUUCCAUAGCACGUGACAUCAUGUGGGGAAAAAAAAAAAGCUAUAAAACUGAGGGGAGUUGAUUGAGGAAGCCACCACUGCUCAAGGACUGGCUGGGCAUCGGUCAGAGGAUGAUGGCAGCAGAGGGACAAUCUGACCAAAUAGUGUCUGACAUGAAAAUGUGAAUGAAGCAAAGUGUAUGGGAACUGUUGAAUCAAGGCCGGAACAUCUGAUUGACCACCUGAUGUGAGCGCUGAGUCAGCCACAGGGGCACAGGUGAAUGCAAUUUCACCUGAGUGACCAGAGCCAGGCUCCACCCCUCCUAGACCCCAUUUAAGGGCUGACUCCCAAGAAGGAAGGUUCUCUAUCUGAAGAUCACUCCUCUUGGAGUGCUUCUGCAAGCCUGGGAUACAGGUUUCAAACCAAUGGAAAUGCACUGAUGGGAUGUGCAGUGGAAACGCUAAGUCACAGCUUGAACCAGUGAUUGAGCACCUAGUGGGAAGGCAGGGCCAACUCAAAGGACCUCAGGUGCGUGCAAUGUACCGCAGUGACUGGAAGGGGUGGAGCCAGGAUUCACCGCCUCCCAGACCUCAUUUAAGGGUUGGCAGUGGAAGUGAGGAUAUUUUGCUGGAGAUCCCUGCCUACCUGAGCCUAUCUGAAGAAUUGCCAGCCUUGUGGAUGAGAAGCAAGCAUUGGAUGUGAUACAUCUUGACACAGCUUUUGAGACAAACUACUUGGUUAUUCUCAAGAGCAAGAUGAGAAUACAUGGUCUGGAUAAAAUUAGAAAUAAAUUUUAGACUUUAUUAAAGACUAUGUACCAAUAACUCAAUGUUAAACUAAGUACCUUAAGCAAGGUCUCACUGAGACUUUUCAUGAGCACUGUUCAACAAUUUCAUUAAUGGCUUGGAUGAUGAGAAACAUAGUACACUUCUUUAAUCUUUAUGCACUGCUUCCUUGGGAAGAAUUGCAAGGAUGUUGGAAGACAGUAUUAUGUCUUAUAUCGAUACAAAAAAAAUUCAGUGAAGGUAAUUUUGUUCUACAUAUAUGGAAGAGAAGGCCUAAAGUACAAAUAUAAAAUGUUUAAGUAUCUAAGAAGCAGUACUACUAGAAAAGGAUGAUCUGAAGCUGUAGCGGGCCACAAAUAGAAGAGGUGCCAGCAAUCUGAUGCUAUUAAAAAGGGUAGAUAAAAUUCUGAAAUGUAUUAGGUAAGAAUGUUAUAAAUAAUGCUUGAUGUAAGUAUCCCACUCAUUUUGAAAGUGAGAAAUCCAUAUGGAUAGUUUGAUAACCACUUUUUGGGUCAAAUACUUUAAGAAAGAUGUAAAACAAAAUGGAAAGGGAGAGAAACAAAAAUACCUUAUUGUGAUUUUCAGCAAGACUGAUAAAGGUGUCAUAUAAAAUGCUUUAAUUCCAAAGACGGUAGUACCAGAACUCACUAGAUGGGGGCAGGGGGAGGGGUGGUGAGGGGGAAGCCUGUAUACAAUCUUUUUGUAUUCAUCUCUGCGUAAUAAUUUUGAGUUUUCUCUAAAGAUUAGUUUAACAAAGAAUCUAAUUUCUGAAAGUUACAACAGAUAUAUAAAAAUAAAAGUAAGAAUGUGAAUGUCUGAUACCUGUUACCUCCACUACCACCUCACAUUCUCAUUUAGGUAAUUUAUUGUUUGUGUACUCAGUUACCACUACCACUGGAUCUCUUCUCUAUAUUAUUAUCCAGGCAACAUUUGAAGCUUUACUUAAGAACAUGAGGUACUAAAAAAAAAAUCUUUUCACAAAAGAAGGUAGUUUCAUUCACUGCCAUCCUUUCAUUUUGAAGUGGGC